This 1445-nucleotide ribosomal RNA is filed under the name uncultured bacterium. RNAcentral's name for it is "partial 16S small subunit ribosomal RNA". It matches the Rfam family "Bacterial small subunit ribosomal RNA". The record is from RNAcentral.
GAUGAACGCUGGCGGCGUGCUUAACACAUGCAAGUCGAACGAUGAUCCUGGUGCUUGCACUGGGGGAUUAGUGGCGAACGGGUGAGUAACACGUGAGUAACCUGCCCCUGACUCUGGGAUAAGCCUGAGAAAUUGGGUCUAAUACCGGAUAUGAGCAUCUGCCGCAUGGUGGGUGUUGGAAAGAUUUUUUGGUUGGGGAUGGGCUCGCGGCCUAUCAAGCUUGUUGGUGGGGUAGUGGCCUACCAAGGCGACGACGGGUAGCCGGCCUGAGAGGGUGACCGGCCACACUGGGACUGAGACACGGCCCAGACUCGUACGGGAGGCAGCAGUGGGGAAUAUUGCACAAUGGGCGAAAGCCUGAUGCAGCGACGCCGCGUGAGGGAUGACGGCCUUCGGGUUGUAAACCUCUUUCAGUAAGGAAGAAGCGAAAGUGACGGUACUUGCAGAAGAAGCGCCGGCUAACUACGUGCCAGCAGCCGGCGGUAAUACGUAGGGCGCGAGCGUUAUCCGGAAUUAUUGGGCGUAAAGAGCUCGUAGGCGGUUUGUCGCGUCUGCCGUGAAAGUCCGGGGCUUAACUCCGGAUCUGCGGUGGGUACGGGCAGGCUAGAGUGCAGUAGGGGAGACUGGAAUUCCUGGUGUAGCGGUGAAAUGCGCAGAUAUCAGGAGGAACACCGAUGGCGAAGGCAGGUCUCUGGGCUGUAACUGACGCUGAGGAGCGAAAGCGUGGGGAGCAAACAGGAUUAGAUACCCUGGUAGUCCACGCUGUAAACGAUGGAAGCUAGCCGUUGGCAAGUUUACUUGUCGGUGGCGCAGCUAACGCAUUAAGCUUCCCGCCUGGGGAGUACGGUCGCAAGAUUAAAACUCAAAGGAAUUGACGGGGGCCCGCACAAGCGGUGGAGCAUGUGGUUUAAUUCGACGCAACGCGCAGAACCUUACCAGCCCUUGACAUGUCUAUGACCGGUACCAGAGAUGGAACCUUCCCUUCGGGGCAUAGAGCACAGGUGCUGCAUGGCUGUCGUCAGCUCGUGUCGUGAGAUGUUGGGUUAAGUCCCGCAACGAGCGCAACCCCCGUCCUUAGUUGCUACCAUUUAGUUGAGCACUCUAAGGAGACUGCCGGUGAUAAGCCGCGAGGAAGGUGGGGAUGACGUCAAGUCCUCAUGCCCUUACGGGCUGGGCUACACACGUGCUACAAUGGCGGUGACAAUGGGACGCUAAGGGGCAACCCUUCGCAAAUCUCAAAAAGCCGUCUCAGUUCGGAUUGGGCUCUGCAACUCGAGCCCAUGAAGUUGGAAUCGCUAGUAAUCGUGGAUCAGCAUGCCACGGUGAAUACGUUCCCGGGCCUUGUACACACCGCCCGUCACACCAUGGGAGUUGGUUCUACCUGAAGGCAGUGCGCUAACCCGCAAGGGAGGCAGCUGACCACGGUAGGGUCAGCGACUGGGGUG